UGAGAAUCAAUUUGUGAGGCAGGAAACCUGCUAGCAGGACUCUCGCUUUGCUGAGUUAAUUUUUCCUUUUUCCUUUCCACCCAAUAAGUUCCAUUUUCCUCACCCUUCUAUGUAUCCACAAGCCUAAUCAUUCCUGGUUGUGUGACAAGAGGCCAGUUUUAGCUGAACUAAGGAGAAAGUUCUGCAACAUUUUUGGCAUCCAGAUAUGGGGCUCGAGGAAAGGAACCUGUAGGAGGAUGUGAGACAGCACCUCGGGGCACAGAUGGCAGGCAGAGCCCCAGACUCGGAAACUGGAAGUAGUUCUCCAGGGUUGAUUUUAGGAGCAGAAGACCACAGCCUGAACUUGAUUAUCAUCUUGGCAGCUACAGAAAGGCUGAGAACUGACAUUGCCAUCACAUCUGUUCACUUCUCCCACUGAAAAUUGGUAUGGUGGUACUGAUGAAGUAAUUGAAACUACCAGAACUUGGGAAUGCCUUGGACAGAGACACUGUUCCAUCAUUAUCAAGUAUUCAGUGCGAUAGCUGAGAAAUCUGAGACCAUUCUAAUCUUCAUUAUAUUGGUACAAGAAAGGUGAUUAUAAACAUUUACAUUUGUAGUUGGGGAUGAAAGAUUUGAACUGUGCCUACCAGAGGGUCCUGAUCUGAAAAGAUCUAUGCAGAAGAAGGAUACCAUAUUGUUGACUUGAUCCAUUCAGAUUUUAGAAGCCAGCUGUCUGUACCCCACAAGUCUCGGGUUUGCAUAUCCACUAUUGCUGCUCAUAGCUCAGCAUUUCUACACGUUUCACUCUCCUAGACACAGCCAUCUGCUUGUACCUGCUUAUGCGUAUAAAGGUCUAUGCCUUAA
RNAcentral lists this long non-coding RNA (843 nucleotides) under Homo sapiens (human). RNAcentral describes it as "HSALNT0286957". The record is from RNAcentral. Lineage: Eukaryota; Metazoa; Chordata; Mammalia; Primates; Hominidae.